GAAUGUUUAAACUUCCAUCAGCCAGAUUCUAACCAAGAGAUUGUCUAUUUUUAGGUAAGUUACCAGGAGGAUGGUUUUUCCAAAGUACUCGUUUUUGGAAUUUGUUACCUUUUGAUGUUUUAUUUGCCACUUUCAGGAAUUCUUAAUACAGCAAGAGAACAGGCUUCCUCUGCAGAAGAGCCUGUGACACAACCAGAACUAAAGACUAAGCCUGUGCAGGUGCCAGAAUUCAGUCUAAUGGGAACCAGUGACCUCGUAUAAAAUGAUGUAAGUCACAACUUAUUUACAUUCUACCAGCGUGUAUUCAAAAUCAUUAUUUCAGUUAAUCUCAACUAUUUUUUGAACUAAGCAUUAGUCCCAUUUUAAAAACAGAGUUGUGACUUGGCCAGGGUCACACAGCACAGAUCAUGUACAAUCCAAAUCCAAUCUUCUCUGACUCAUAUUUGUGUGUAGUGAGCCCUGGGUUAGUCAGAAUUAUAAUAGCACAUUAUAUCAGUUACUUAAAUUUAAUUCAGCUAUAAAAUGCAGAAUUAAACUAUUUUUAAGAUCAUUCUCUUCUGUAUUGUGUUAGAAGAGAGAACCAGAAACUGAAGGAAGUGGGCGUAGGCAAAAAAAGAUGACACCGACGCCAGAGGUAAUAGGGUGGAAUGCUGAGGAAAGUCACCCCAAGUGACUGCCCUGUUUAAUGCGAAAUUCCUUUGAGAAAAGUGAAUGAGAGACAACAUAAUUUAUUCUAAGAACAUUUCCACUUGAAAAAUGUAGAAAGCAAAUUACUCCUAAGAAGAUCCAUGUGUAAUAUAAAAGAAUCUUACCUAUCAUAAAAAACAUACUAAAUGCAUGUACAGGCUUCAUGGUCCGUGGAAAAAGUUUUAAACAGUAACUUCCUUCUAUUGGAGCACUGGCCAAAUUCAAUACUGAUACAAAUGUAAAUUUCUUAGGAGGUCAAAAUAUGUGUGUCAAGUGACCUUUAUGAAUUUCUUUUAAGGGCAGAAUUUUUAAAACAUAAGAAACAAUGUACAUCAACAGCAGUUCAAAUUAAAGCUGAAUAACCAAACCAUGUAAAUUAACUAAUAUCUACUAACAUCUAAAACAUUGCACAUAUUUUCAAUAACUUAAAAUUUAGGUCUACCUACUCUUUUCAUCUCCAACCCCGUAGAGGAAAUACAACUUCAAACACUAUUUACUCAUGUAGGAGAUUCUGGCAUUAACUCAAGCUGAGUUUAUCAGAAAUAAAGAAAAUCAUGAAGCUUUAUCAAGUAUUUAAAAAUGAUCACUUGUAGCAAUUCAUUAGAAGCACUAGGUAAGAAAGGCAGUUCUGCACUUUCUUACAGCUGAGGUUUAUGGCGCAUAAUGUAGUUCAACAGAACAGCAUUCUGAUGAACACCUUAAAAGACAUGUUUUUGCCUAUUCAGUGUUCCAUUUUAAAGCUACUCGUUUUGACCAAUGUUGAAAGUUUUAAAUUCCAUUAUGCCAACAAUUUCUAGAAGUAUUAACAAGUCAUUUUUUAUGAUGCCAUUUAUUAAACAAAGAAAAAGAUGGAAUAUUCUGGUUUUUGUUUGAAAAGAUUUAAUUCAAUGCUUUGAUUCCUCCCUAUUUGCAAACUACCUUUUCUUCCUCAGAAUGGACGGCUGUGAGCAUUAUCAAGAGUCCCUACUCAAAUCCCAUCUCCAAGAAAAUGUGAGAGGGAAUCCCAAGAUUAACUAAAAGUUCUGUGUGAGAGGACACAGCGGACUGGCUUGUAAAAUGGAGGUGCUCAGCAGUGGCUGGAACUACUGCCUACGUUGAACCAGGAAAGAAGCCUGACCUCAUACUCACCAACACUGUUUCUGAAGUGGCCUCUGACGCAGACUUUGGAACUCCUUUCUCAGCCUCAUCUUGGCUAUCACUUCGGUACCGGUAAGCAAAUUUCUUUUUCAGAGCCUCUGCUAUGAGGGCAGCAGGGUCAGUAGCAUCCACAGGUUUGGGCUUUGUAUCUAGUUCUGACCUUGGAGAAGUGAGCAGAAACCAAGGGGACAGGUCAGUAGGCUGACAGUGAAGACACUGCUAGCAGUGAGGAGGAACCCGAGAUUUCAGGCCCAAUGAACAGCCACUCAGUUGUUCAUCUGAAGGCACUGAUCAUGCUCUUUCAGGGCCAGUAUGGCUCCAUUCUGUUCCAGAAGCCCAGGACUGCCAUAGUGUACACAGCAUGGCUUUACGGAGUGAAUGACUGGCAGUGCAGACUCUAACGAAUGAAGGUUUUAGAUGCAAGGGGAAAGAGCUAAAAAGUAAUCUGGAAAUGUUUAUUUUGCUAAUUUCUUAGUUAUCUGUGCAAGGAGCCACCAGGGCCCAUCUUUUACAAGUUAAA
Molecule: long non-coding RNA, 2344 nt
Organism: Pipistrellus kuhlii (Kuhl's pipistrelle)
Lineage: Eukaryota; Metazoa; Chordata; Mammalia; Chiroptera; Vespertilionidae
Exons: 3
Source: RefSeq, a predicted model, not a curated record